AGAGAGUUUCUCAAUAAACCUCUUCUUCUGAGGAUGGGCUCCUCUCCUUCUCCCAAAUUCCACACCGACAAGAACUUCAAAAAUAUACUGUGCUUCUACCAUAGAAAAGUUUCAGUCCGUUUUUUCAAGUUACCAUCGGAAUUAUUAUUGUUUGCAGGGGGGGGCUAUUCGAUUUCAAACAAUAAAAAUUUCGGGCUCCCACAUAUUUUUACGGGUUCAUUGUUAAAUUCGAAAAUUUCAAUGCUUUCAUGUAUGUACUACCUGAGAAGUGCCUCGACAAAGGGCCCAAAAUGCUGAAAAUUCAAGAUUGCUUGUUUUCUCGAAUAAUUAUUUCUUGUCUUUAAUUUUCUGCUAAGUCAGCAUAUUAUAUUUUCCACACAAAAUACCUGUUGAGGGAUAUGAUUCUGUGUUUAAUUUGUGAGUAAUGUUACUACGGACCUGCAUCGUUCCAUGAUUAUAUUGCUUCUUUGAUUUCUGCACAAAACCGUAUUUUGUCAUUCUAUGUUCAGACAGGGGACAAGGUGUUUUACGAUAUUACUAUGAAGUCCGUACAAAUGAAGAGGUUGGUGUAAAUAGGUGGCUGCUUGAUCGCUACGCCUCCAUGAAGCGUGGCCGGCCAAUGGCUCAAAAUGCUUUACUCUCUUCUCCUCAUGCCUCUUCUUUGUGUGCCUUGGGCGACAAUAAGCUUGAUGUUCCUGAUUCGGUAGAAAGGGAGAGGUUACGUACAAAUGAGCGUAGGCGAGCUCGUUAUGCCUCAAAAAAACGCGCUCGCCUGUUCGCUCCAACGCCUUUGGUCCCUUCUCCUCUUGCUUCUUCUUCGUCUGCUUUUGGCAAUGGUGCGUUGUAUUUUUCUCAUGUUCCCUGCAUCUCG
Non-coding RNA from Erythranthe guttata (spotted monkey flower), 871 nucleotides. Lineage: Eukaryota; Viridiplantae; Streptophyta; Magnoliopsida; Lamiales; Phrymaceae. The record is from RefSeq and is a predicted model, not a curated record.